GGGUGCAUGGUCUAGUAGUAUGAUUUUCGCUUCGCAUAGUUUCAUACGAAUGCCCUGUGAAAGGUCCCUGGUUUAAUCCCGGUUGCAUCCA
RNAcentral lists this transfer RNA (91 nucleotides) under Lasiosphaeria miniovina. RNAcentral describes it as "tRNA-Ala". The record is from RNAcentral. Lineage: Eukaryota; Fungi; Ascomycota; Sordariomycetes; Sordariales; Lasiosphaeriaceae.